CUAAUCUUUCUCUAACUGCUCCGUACAGAACAGAACAAUGGCUUUACAGAGGCAACUGCUCAAGAGAGUCGUAGAUCGAGCUUCAACUUCCUCCCGGAUCCAUUCCCCUGCGAUCACCUUCCUCCGCUCUGAUUACUCCACCUCUUCUCCGCCGCAGCUUCCACCGUUUGAUUACCAGGCGCGGCCGUAUAAUGGUCCUUCCGCAGAUGAAGUCUUCCAGAGACGGAAGAAGUUUCUCGGACCUUCUCGUUUCCAUUUCUACCAAAAGCCUGUACGUGAUUUUGACUGCACAAAUCGAAUAGUUGUAUUGAAAGAAUUAAUAUUUUUUUUUUUGCAUUCUUAUGAUCAAUCUUUAGGGUUCUUCUUGAUCUAUUUGUAUUGCUUGCAGCUUAAUAUCGUGGAAGGGAAGAUGCAGUACUUGUUUGAUGAAACCGGUAGGCGAUAUCUCGACGCCUUUGCUGGAAUAGUCACUGUCUCAUGCGGUCACUGCCAUCCCGACAUACUCAACGCUAUUAAUGAACAAAGCAAGCUUCUUCAGCACGCAACAACCAUAUACCUACAUCACGCCAUUGGCGAUUUCGCUGAAGCGUUAGCUGCCAAGAUGCCUGGAAACCUAAAGGUAAUAUAGUGAGGUUUAUGUUUAUUGCUUUUUGUUGAUGAUAAUCAGAAAGCUUCAUUUUUUUUUUUGAACAAAAAAAAACCAGUAAGCUUCAUUAUUUUUGGAUGCAGGUUGUGUACUUUGUGAAUUCUGGCUCAGAAGCUAAUGAGUUAGCAAUGAUGAUGGCUAGGCUUUACACUGGUAGCCUUGAGAUGAUUUCUUUGAGAAAUGCUUAUCAUGGUGGAAGUUCUAAUACUAUUGGACUCACAGCUCUCAACACAUGGAAGUACCCUUUACCACAGGUUUGUUUGACCAUAUAGUGUCUCUAACUUCACCUAUGAGAGUAAAAAUCUAUGCAAUAUAAUUCUAUCUGAUCAUGUGUUUGUAACUUUUGUUAGCCAACUUUGUUAUUAUGCAGGGGGAGAUACAUCAUGUAGUGAAUCCAGAUCCAUACCGUGGAGUAUUUGGUUCUGAUGGUUCUAUGUAUGCUAAAGAUGUCCAAGACCAUAUUGACUAUGGCACUUCUGGCAAAGUGGCUGGAUUUAUUGCAGAGACCAUCCAGGUUUUUUAUUUGUCUAAAAGACGGUGAUGUGCGACUGUGUCAGUACAUCUAUCAGCAAAUCUAAUUCACAUGGAAUCUUAGAAUCAUAUUGCCACGUCAUUAUUACUCAAAAUAUUUGAUACCAUGUACUAAUCUUUACUUAGCAGGCUUAUAAAGACCGUGAUUGGUCCUAAUCUUUCUCUAACUGCUCCGUACAGAACAGAACAAUGGCUUUACAGAGGCAACUGCUCAAGAGAGUCGUAGAUCGAGCUUCAACUUCCUCCCGGAUCCAUUCCCCUGCGAUCACCUUCCUCCGCUCUGAUUACUCCACCUCUUCUCCGCCGCAGCUUCCACCGUUUGAUUACCAGGCGCGGCCGUAUAAUGGUCCUUCCGCAGAUGAAGUCUUCCAGAGACGGAAGAAGUUUCUCGGACCUUCUCGUUUCC
RNAcentral lists this long non-coding RNA (1583 nucleotides) under Brassica napus (rape). RNAcentral's name for it is "long non-coding RNA (BNAP_LNC014309)". Lineage: Eukaryota; Viridiplantae; Streptophyta; Magnoliopsida; Brassicales; Brassicaceae. The record is from RNAcentral.